RNAcentral lists this ribosomal RNA (520 nucleotides) under uncultured delta proteobacterium. Its description in RNAcentral is "bacterial SSU rRNA". It matches the Rfam family "Bacterial small subunit ribosomal RNA", at positions 9 to 504 of the family's 1533-position model. Lineage: Bacteria; Deltaproteobacteria. The record is from RNAcentral.
GAGUUUGAUCAUGGCUCAGAACGAACGCUGGCGGCGUGCCUAACACAUGCAAGUCGAACGAGAAAGGGAUUUCGGUCCUGAGUAAAGUAGGCGCACGGGUGAGUAACACGUAGGUAACCUGCCUCUAAGAUUGGGAUAACCUGUCGAAAGACGAGCUAAUACCGAAUAAGACCACGGCUCCCUCGGGAGCAGGGCCGAAAGUAGCCUCUACUUGUAAGCUAUCACUUAGAGAUGGGCCUGCGCACCAUUUAGCUAGUUGGUGAGGUAAUGGCUCACCAAGGCUUAGACGGGUAGCUGGUCUGAGAGGAUGAUCAGCCACACUGGGACUGCGACACGGCCCAGACUCCUACGGGAGGCAGCAGUGGGGAAUAUUGGGCAAUGGGCGAAAGCCUGACCCAGCCACGCCGCGUGAGUGAUGAAGGCCUUCGGUCGUAAAGCUCUGUGGGGAGGGACGGAACAAGUUCUGGGCGUAAUCACCAGGACCCUGACGGUACCUCCUUAGCAAGCACCGGCUAACCUU